CCUACCUUUGCGAAGUCUUGUUCUGUAAACCUCCUUUCCUGAGGUUUCAGAUGAAAAGGGAAUCGGGUGAAAGUCCCGGACAGUCCCGCUGCUGUAAGCUCCAUAAAAAGGGUUGCCCAUCUAUCCUUUAGCCACUGCCCCCGAAGCAACCGGAGGGUGGGAAGGCCGGGCCAACCGGAGUAAGUCAGAAGACCUGCAAGACAAAAGCCAUGUUU
Molecule: non-coding RNA, 215 nt
Filed under: Phocaeicola coprophilus
Lineage: Bacteria; Pseudomonadati; Bacteroidota; Bacteroidia; Bacteroidales; Bacteroidaceae
Also listed under: 1 other name
Source: RNAcentral